RNAcentral lists this ribosomal RNA (3145 nucleotides) under Aeromicrobium erythreum. RNAcentral's name for it is "bacterial LSU rRNA". It matches the Rfam family "Bacterial large subunit ribosomal RNA". The record is from RNAcentral. Lineage: Bacteria; Bacillati; Actinomycetota; Actinomycetes; Propionibacteriales; Nocardioidaceae.
ACAGUGGACGCGAGCAUCUUGUAGCAAUGUAUGUAACAAGCUACUAAGUGCACAUGGUGGAUGCCUUGGCAUCGAGAGCCGAUGAAGGACGUUGGAGUCUGCGAAAAGCCCCGGGGAGGUGACAACCGACCUGUGAUCCGGGGAUGUCCGAAUGGGGAAACCCACCUGGAGGAAAGUCCAGGUACCUGCGCCUGAACACAUAGGGCGUGUGGAGGGAACGCGGGGAAGUGAAACAUCUCAGUACCCGCAGGAAGAGAAAACAACCGUGAUUCCGGAAGUAGUGGCGAGCGAAACCGGAAGAGGCUAAACCCUAGUGAUGUGAUAGCCGGCAGGCGUUGUCACUGGGGGGUCGUGGGGCCGAACUGCUGAGACUGCCGUAUCAGCGAAGAGUCAUAAACCAUGAGUGAAGACGAGACCGACUGGAAAGUCGUGGCAUAGAGGGUGAUACCCCCGUAGUCGUAAGCUCAUGGCUCUUGUUCGUUACCCCGAGUAACACCGAACCCCUGAAAUUCGGUGUGAAUCUGGCGGGACCACCCGUUAAGCCUAAAUACUCCUCGAUGACCGAUAGCGGACUAGUACCGUGAGGGAAAGGUGAAAAGUACCCCGGGAGGGGAGUGAAAGAGUACCUGAAACCAUGUGCAUACAAUCCGUUGGAGCUCUUCCUUGUGAAGGGUGACAGCGUGCCUUUUGAAGAAUGAGCCUGCGAGUUAGCGUGGUGUAGCGAGGUUAAGGCGAGGGCCGUAGCCGUAGCGAAAGCGAGUCCGAACAGGGCGUUUGAGUUGCACCAUCUAGACCCGAAGCGGAGUGAUCUAUCCAUGGGCAGGUUGAAGCGCGGGUAAGACCGCGUGGAGGACCGAACCCACCUAGGUUAAAAACUGGGGGGAUGACCUGUGGAUAGGGGUGAAAGGCCAAUCAAACUCCGUGAUAGCUGGUUCUCCCCGAAAUGCAUUUAGGUGCAGCGUUGCGUGUUUCUUGUCGGAGGUAGAGCACUGGAUGGGCUAGGGGGCCUACAAGCUUACUGAACUCAGCCAAACUCCGAAUGCCGAUAAGUGAGAGCGCAGCAGUGAGACUGCGGGGGAUAAGCUCCGUAGUCGAGAGGGAAACAGCCCAGACCAUCAGCUAAGGUCCCCAAGAGAUUGCUAAGUGGAAAAGGAUGUGAAGUCGCAGAGACAACCAGGAGGUUGGCUUAGAAGCAGCCACCCUUGAAAGAGUGCGUAAUAGCUCACUGGUCAAGUGAUUUCGCGCCGACAAUGUAGCGGGGCUCAAGCAAUCCACCGAAGCUAUGGCAUUCGCGCAUGAACCAGGCCUUCGUGGUCCAGGUGCGUGGAUGGGUAGGGGAGCGUCGUGUCGCGAGUGAAGCGGCGGGGUAACCCAGUCGUGGACGCGACACGAGUGAGAAUGCAGGCAUGAGUAGCGAAUGAGGAGUGAGAAACUCCUCCACCGGAUGACCAAGGGUUCCAGGGUCAAGCUAAUCUUCCCUGGGUAAGUCGGGACCUAAGGCGAGGCCGACAGGCGUAGUCGAUGGACAACGGGCUGAUAUUCCCGUACCGGCACUGAAGCGACCCUGCUGAAUCCAGUGAUGCUAAGUGCCCGAAACCGGUUUCCAGCUCCUUCGGGAGCAUUAACCGGCAGAGCGCAUGACCCGAACUGGUACUAGGCAAGCAAUGGUGUGACGCAGGAAGGUAGCUCAACCGCGGCGAUGGUAGACCGCGGCCAAGGUCGUAGGGCGAACGGUAGGCAAAUCCGCCGUUCAUGUGCCUGAGAGCUGAUGGGGAGACGUUUUAGUCGAAGUGAGUGAUCCUAUGCUGCCGAGAAAAGCAUCUAGCGAUGUUUCAGAGCCGCCCGUACCCCAAACCGACUCAGGUGGUCAGGUAGAGAAUACUAAGGUGAUCGAGUGAAUCAUGGUUAAGGAACUCGGCAAAAUGCCCCCGUAACUUCGGGAGAAGGGGGGCCGGAUUCGUCAGUGGACUUGCUCCACGAAGCGUUGAAGGCCGCAGAGACCAGGCCCAAGCGACUGUUUACUAAAAACACAGGUCCGUGCUAAGUCGAAAGACGCCGUAUACGGACUGACUCCUGCCCGGUGCUGGAAGGUUAAGGGGACGUGUUAGCGCAAGCGAAGCACAGAACUUAAGCCCCAGUAAACGGCGGUGGUAACUAUAACCAUCCUAAGGUAGCGAAAUUCCUUGUCGGGUAAGUUCCGACCUGCACGAAUGGAGUAACGACUUGGGCGCUGUCUCAACCAUGAACUCGGCGAAAUUGCACUACGAGUAAAGAUGCUCGUUACGCGCGGCAGGACGGAAAGACCCCGGGACCUUUACUAUAGUUUGGUAUUGGUGUUUGGUUCGACUUGUGUAGGAUAGGUGGGAGACUGUGAAGCUCGGACGCCAGUUCGAGUGGAGUCAUCGUUGAAAUACCACUCUGGUCGUACUAGAUAUCUAACCUAGGUCCGUUAUCCGGAUCAGGGACAGUGCCUGAUGGGUAGUUUAACUGGGGCGGUUGCCUCCUAAAAUGUAACGGAGGCGCCCAAAGGUUCCCUCAGCCUGGUUGGCAAUCAGGUUUCGAGUGUAAGUGCACAAGGGAGCUUGACUGUGAGAGUGACAGCUCGAGCAGGGACGAAAGUCGGGACUAGUGAUCCGGCGCUGGCAUGUGGAAGCGGCGUCGCUCAACGGAUAAAAGGUACCCCGGGGAUAACAGGCUGAUCUUCCCCAAGAGUCCAUAUCGACGGGAUGGUUUGGCACCUCGAUGUCGGCUCGUCGCAUCCUGGGGCCGUAGCAGGUCCCAAGGGUUGGGCUGUUCGCCCAUUAAAGCGGCACGCGAGCUGGGUUUAGAACGUCGUGAGACAGUUCGGUCCCUAUCCGCCGCGCGCGUAGGAAACUUGAGAAAGGCUGUCCCUAGUACGAGAGGACCGGGAUGGACGAACCUCUGGUGUGCCAGUUGUUCUGCCAAGAGCACGGCUGGUUGGCUACGUUCGGAAGUGAUAACCGCUGAAAGCAUCUAAGCGGGAAGCACGUUUCAAGAUGAGGUUUCCCACUGGUUUACCAGGUAAGGCCCCCAGCAGACCACUGGGUUGAUAGGCCGGAAGUGGAAGUGCAGCAAUGCAUGGAGCUGACCGGUACUAAUAGGCCGAGGGCUUGUUUCACUACAA